CGUUCUCAGUUCGGAUCGGAGUCUGCAACCCGACUCCGUGAAGCUGGAUUCGCUAGUAAUCGCGCAUCAGCCAUGGCGCGGUGAAUACGUUCCCGGGCCUUGUACACACCGCCCGUCAAGCCAUGGAAGCCGGGGGCGCUUGAAGUGCGUUGCCGCAAGGCGCGCCCUAGAGCGAAACCGGUGACUGGGGCUAAGUCGUAACAAGGUACC
This 210-nucleotide ribosomal RNA is filed under the name uncultured bacterium. RNAcentral's name for it is "partial 16S ribosomal RNA". It matches the Rfam family "Bacterial small subunit ribosomal RNA", at positions 1283 to 1500 of the family's 1533-position model. The record is from RNAcentral.